RNAcentral lists this ribosomal RNA (376 nucleotides) under uncultured bacterium. RNAcentral describes it as "bacterial SSU rRNA". It matches the Rfam family "Bacterial small subunit ribosomal RNA", at positions 429 to 793 of the family's 1533-position model. The record is from RNAcentral.
GGUACUUUCAGUCAGUGAGGUAAGGUGGAUUAUGUUAAUAGCAUAUUCAUUUUGACGUUAGCUGCAGAAGUAAGCACCGGCUAACUCCGUGCCAGCAGCCGCGGUAAUACGGAGGGUGCGAGCGUUAAUCGGAAUUACUGGGCGUAAAGCGCAUGCAGGUGGUUUGUUAAGUCAGAUGUGAAAGCCCGGGGCUCAACCUCGGAAUUGCAUUUGAAACUGGCAAACUAGAGUACUGUAGAGGGGGUAGAAUUUCAGGUGUAGCGGUGAAAUGCGUAGAGAUCUGAAGGAAUACCGGUGGCGAAGGCGGCCCCCUGGACAGAUACUGACACUCAGAUGCGAAAGCGUGGGGAGCAAACAGGAUUAGAUACCCUGGUAG